Populus trichocarpa (black cottonwood) is the source of this 303-nucleotide non-coding RNA. The record is from Rfam. NCBI's taxonomy places the organism in Eukaryota, Viridiplantae, Streptophyta, Magnoliopsida, Malpighiales, Salicaceae.
GCUGAGCUCGGUAACGCGGGCUUGUAACCUGAGUGGGGGCUUUAAAGUGAUGGGACGUGGACUAUGCACGUAAGGUCGGGUUCAGGCUGUCUCUUAUCUGACCCGCCCGUUCCAAGCCAGGAGUUGAGCCAAGGCAUCCUAGUGAAGACCUGGGUGUUCUGGCUCCUAGAGGGGAGGGCACAGCGUGAGGCUGGUCUCACAGAGCAGCGAUCACCUCCCGCUCCUGGCAGUGGAAGGAUUACGGGCCGGUGCCAACUGGAUCUGCAUGGCUUGAAGAGCUGGUCUAAUUGGACCGUCACUUUU